RNAcentral lists this long non-coding RNA (2446 nucleotides) under Triticum aestivum (bread wheat). RNAcentral's name for it is "long non-coding RNA (TAES_LNC028628)". The record is from RNAcentral. Lineage: Eukaryota; Viridiplantae; Streptophyta; Magnoliopsida; Poales; Poaceae.
ACAAAUCUUGACUUCCCGUACGAUCUUCUAUAGCUAGACUUGUAGUAUGCCUUAGAUCUUGGGUCCUCACACACAUUAACUGGAAUCCACAUCCAAACACAGUGACCCACGUCCUUGUGUUGAGAUUAAGCCAGACGAGUAUACAAUUCAGGCUGAAAUUGGAACUCCACAUCGAAGUAUUAGCAUUAAGUGGAAUCUCAGAUCUCGGCUCCCAACACACAUUAACUGGAAUCCACAUCCAUUUGUAAUGACCCACGUCGUCGUGUUCAUCCCCGGGGAUUAAGUCAGACAAGUAUGCAAUACAUGCAUGUGACAUGUCAAGCUGGAAUCAUAUCAUAAUAAAAGAGAAGACCUGAUGACAUCUCACCGAGGACUUGCUUAUUUAUAACUAGUCUUCAAGGUCCUUCUAAUUUACUGCAAACGAAUUAUUAGCAUCUUGAUGAUGCGAUCUGAUCCUUACAUGUGAGGUGGUGACCGAGAUAAACUUUUCAGUAACAUGUUGCGCCCCACCGUAGCUGGUAAAAUAAUUUGGAGAGUGUCAUGAGCGGAAAGGAAUGAUAGUGCAAUCUGCGGGGACGAUCGUCGGUGAAUUUGAUCAAACAUGCACAUGGCACACAUAAAUACGAAACUGAAAUAAUAAUUCAUGGUUAUGCGAUUGAUAGGCUUGCGAAGACUCACCCGCUCACCGGAGAUCCUGUGGGCGACUUAUCUCACCACCCUAAGAAGGAAUAAUCGUCUCUGUUUCCCUUGGGCGUCCUGCUCAACUCGCAUGGAGUUCAGGAAUGAAGGGCCAGGGGGUAGCCGUGGUACAUCCAGAAGGUGCUAAACCAAAGAUAACCUUAAUAAGACCAUUUGUCCUCAGUAAGGCGUAGACAUGACGGUGAAUACUUUUAAAAGAAUCAUUCAAGGAGUAGCAGCACUCAUGUGCUCUUAUUGCAUCCAUGCCAUGUGCAAUAGCUGUACUCAUGUGCUCUUUGGCAUGAUGUAUUAGUUAUCUCGAGCAUGAGCCUACUCAUGUGCUGUUGCCAUUGCCGAUCUGUAGACCAGUAUGAAGUCAGAAUCAUCGUCAUUAUAUAUUCUAAACAGAGAAGUCAAUGGAGAGAUAGCCAAUCAACAAGCUGGGACUAAUCGUAAAGACUUGAAGCAAGACUUGGUACUUGGUAGCUUUCUAUGGAUGCUAUAAAUACCCCUCGCCAAAUCAAACAAGGCAAAAGAAAAGCUGUCCUCUCUCACCCCCCCACCACCACCACCAAUGGCCAAUUUCAAGAUCACUAGUUACGCCGGCGUACUGGUGGAAAACAGCAAGCUUGACUUCCAAAGCUUGUAUUUGCGCAGGAUCAUUUCUGGGGAUAAGAAAAACCAGUAUGUAGUGAUAGAUGGAUUUGGUACUACUGACCUUGGUCUCACAACCAUCAACGACUGGGCAAUAUAUGAUGGUGUGGCCCCUGGCGCAAAGCUAGUCGCUCGUGCAAAAGGCAUGCGUAUGAAUGCUGCUGGCUGGUGCAAUUUAUUCAUCAUAGUGUUCGAGCUUGACAGGUAACUUGUAUGUGUUUUGUCCUGUAAUGUGCUAACAUGUUACAUUUUUUUAGCAUCACAUUGUCUUGGUACAUGUAUAUGAUAUUUGUGAACCACAUAGGUUCAAAGGAUCCACGCUUGAGGUAAUGGGAGCAACUACUGAUGAACAAGGGGAAUGGGCUAUUGUUGGUGGGACUGGUGACUUCACUAUGGCGCGUGGUGUCAUCCAGAGAAAAAUACAUCAAAAAGAAGCUGAUGGAGAUGUAUUAGAGCUUACUAUCGAUGCAUUCUGCCGCAUGAAGGUGAGUGCUUCUACUACUUCCGACACCGCCAACCAGGCGCAGUCCAAGAGGGCGCCAGCUCCUCACAUGUUCCGGGAGAUUGUUGCCGGGGAGAAGGUCACCAAUGUAGCUGCACUGGAAGAUCAGGUUUCCACCGGGAUCUUCUUGACUGGGAAAACAAAGGUUUACUUCUUAUGAACAUGAACCAAACUAUAUGAUAUGGAAAGAUUUACCUUCUGAACAUGGCUUAUGCUUCAAACUUUCUGCAAUGGUGCAGAAGUACUGGGUGGAUGAGAGGACUAGGCACAACUGCUUCAUGCUGUUCCCCAGAGGCCUGGCCAUCACUUGGAGCGAAGAACCCCAAUACUGGACUUGGCAACCCCUGAAAGAAGGAAGGUAGUUAAGAAUCAUAAACAUGUGUAUAUGUAUACAUUAUCACAGUUGUUCAUGAAUCAUAAACAUAUGUAUAUGUAUACACUAUCAGCUAUUUUCAUUUGUUCAUGCAUCUUGCCUCAAGAAUUAUAUCUACUUACCAUGUUCUGAAACUGACAUGUUACCAUCAGUGCUGCCGAAGCUGGAAUCGAGAUGGUGGCGCUGAAGAACGUCUGCUGGUUGGAGGUCCAAGGGAAGCUGGAACUGCCCCAUCUCAC